GCUUCAGCUGCGGCUGAGAUAACGGAUCUCUGUCUGCUGGGGCAGUGUGGGGAGGAGCCUUCUCCCAUCCCAGGGGCUUCACGCAGCUUCCUUAACGAGGUUUCCCAGCUAUCAGAAGUGGAAACAGAAACAGAAAAUUGAUGAUCGUGACUCGGACGAAGAAGGGGCAUCUGACCGGCGAGGCCCAGAGCGAAGAGGUGGGAAGCGAGGCCGUGGCCAAGGUGCAUCCCGGCCCCACGCCCCAGGCACCCCUGCAGGCCGUGUCCGCCCGGAACUCAAGACCAAGCAGCAGAUCCUGAAGCAGCGGCGCCGGGCCCAGAAGCUGCGCUUCCUGCAGCGUGGUGGCCUCAAGCAGCUCUCUGCCCGCAACCGCCGCCGCGUCCAGGAGCUGCAGCAGGGCGCCUUCGGCCGGGGUGCCCGCUCCAAGAAGGGCAAGAUGCGGAAGAGGAUGUGAGGACCAGGACCCAGCCCCUUGGCUCCUUGAUUGGCCUUAGGGUGGGCAUCAGAAGACGUUCCCGUGCACCACUGUGUGCCUGGCCCUGUGCUGGGCACUAGGGGCACUCCCUGCAGGAGCCAUCAUCCGUGAAAAGGAGCACUGUAUGGCCACAGAAGGGCAGCAGCUGCGUCAGCCUAAGACAGAGACAUUUGAGCAGGGCCUUGAAGGGUGUGGAGGAGUUCGCCAGCAAAGCCAGGCAGGCCAAGACCUGAGUUGGCAACUCAGCUGCUGCUGCUUCCAUGUGUUCUGGGUUCAGAGGU
RNAcentral lists this small RNA (756 nucleotides) under Pongo abelii (Sumatran orangutan). RNAcentral describes it as "processed transcript". Lineage: Eukaryota; Metazoa; Chordata; Mammalia; Primates; Hominidae. The record is from RNAcentral.